Molecule: ribosomal RNA, 500 nt
Filed under: uncultured bacterium
Lineage: Bacteria
Description: partial 16S ribosomal RNA
Rfam family: Bacterial small subunit ribosomal RNA
Source: RNAcentral
AUUGAACGCUGGCGGAAUGCUUUACACAUGCAAGUCGAACGGCAGCACGGGGGCAACCCUGGUGGCGAGUGGCGAACGGGUGAGUAAUACAUCGGAACGUGCCCAGUCGUGGGGGAUAACUACGCGAAAGCGUAGCUAAUACCGCAUACGAUCUACGGAUGAAAGCGGGGGAUCGCAAGACCUCGCGCGAUUGGAGCGGCCGAUGGCAGAUUAGGUAGUUGGUGGGGUAAAGGCUCACCAAGCCUGCGAUCUGUAGCUGGUCUGAGAGGACGACCAGCCACACUGGGACUGAGACACGGCCCAGACUCCUACGGGAGGCAGCAGUGGGGAAUUUUGGACAAUGGGCGCAAGCCUGAUCCAGCCAUUCCGCGUGCAGGAUGAAGGCCCUCGGGUUGUAAACUGCUUUUGUACGGAACGAAAAGCCUUCUUCUAAUACAGGAGGGUCAUGACGGUACCGUAAGAAUAAGCACCGGCUAACUACGUGCCAGCAGCCGCGGUAA